Molecule: long non-coding RNA, 845 nt
Filed under: Calidris pugnax (ruff)
Lineage: Eukaryota; Metazoa; Chordata; Aves; Charadriiformes; Scolopacidae
Description: lncRNA (ENSCPUG00000015755.1)
Source: RNAcentral
AUGCAUGUGUCACACAGCAGUUACCUGGAAGUGCCUUUUGCAGUUGGCUGCUGCUUUCCACUUAAUAAGCAUUCACCUGUUGAUUGGGUUUUCGUUCUUUUGUUCCUAAGGAAGAUGGUAAUUCUAAUAUCCCAAAAUGGCCAGGGAAAAGGAGGGAGGAAGAAACAUGUUCAUUAUGACGUGCUGCUUCGACAUGAAAAGCCUGUGGAUUUUUCCUCCCUGCUCCGUUUUCCUUUGUCUGACCUAACCUUCAAGAACUUGUGUUCUUGAAUAUGGGAAAGGACAGAGGGGAGUUGAAAAAGGGAUGGUUGUUGCCAUUUUCUUCACCUGCUGCAAUAAUUCUAAAUCAGGUAUUUUUAGACUUGUAGUUUCUUCAGAAAGACUAAGCCAAAAUUAACCUCUAAAUUUUCUAUCGCAUAGCAAAAGACUACAUUCAGAAAGGAGUGGCAAAGUGUCAGACAGAGUGUUGAUUUUCAGAAUUGCCUAAAGAACUAAUACUUCUUUCAGCAGCAUUCACAAUCUCCUUUGAGUGCAAAAGUGUUAGUAACCAAGUGUAACUAUAUAAAAAAGGCUAAAAUGAGGGGAAAGACAGGACAGAAAAAAGGAACUGUCUUCCUCCAAGAAACUGGAAAUGAGUCAUUAGAAGUGGAGCUGUGUCAGGGAGAGAUUUUCUUUGUUUAGCUCUGUUGUGGUUUAGACUGAAUUGGCCAAUUAUGAGAUGACAGAUGCUCUCUCCCCUUCUCAUUCCAAGAAAAGGAGGAGAUAAAGAGAUUUACAAGUUUAGAAAGGACUAAACUACUUUAAUGAAAUAUUAAUAAUAAAAUAAAAAUAACGAAAUAAAUACA